GGGGGAUUAGCUCAGGGGCAGAGCGAUCGCUUCGCAUGCGAUAGGUCGCGAGUUCGAUUCUUGCAUCCUCCA
RNAcentral lists this transfer RNA (72 nucleotides) under Pelagophyceae sp. CCMP2097. RNAcentral describes it as "tRNA-Ala". It matches the Rfam family "tRNA". From Rfam's summary of the family: Transfer RNA (tRNA) molecules are approximately 80 nucleotides in length. Lineage: Eukaryota; Pelagophyceae. The record is from RNAcentral.